ACACAUGCAAGUCGAGGGGCAGCAUGGUCUUAGCUUGCUAAGGCCGAUGGCGACCGGCGCACGGGUGAGUAACACGUAUCCACCUGCCGUCUACUCUUGGACAGCCUUCUGAAAGGAAGAUUAAUACAAGAUGGCAUCAUGAGUCCGCAUGUUCACAUGAUUAAAGGUAUUCCGGUAGACGAUGGGGAUGCGUUCCAUUAGAUAGUAGGCGGGGUAGCGGCCCACCUAGUCUUCGAUGGAUAGGGGUUCUGAGAGGAAGGUCCCCCACAUUGGAACUGAGACACGGUCCAAACUCCUACGGGAGGCAGCAGUGAGGAAUAUUGGUCAAUGGGCGAGAGCCUGAACCAGCCAAGUAGCGUGAAGGAUGACUGCCCUAUGGGUUGUAAACUUCUUUUAUAAAGGAAUAAAGUCGGGUAUGGAUACCCGUUUGCAUGUACUUUAUGAAUAAGGAUCGGCUAACUCCGUGCCAGCAGCCGCGGUAAUACGGAGGAUCCGAGCGUUAUCCGGAUUUAUUGGGUUUAAAGGGAGCGUAGAUGGAUAUUUAAGUCAGUUGUGAAAGUUUGCGGCUCAACCGUAAAAUUGCAGUUGAUACUGGAUAUCUUGAGUGCAGUUGAGGCAGGCGGAAUUCGUGGUGUAGCGGUGAAAUGCUUAGAUAUCACGAAGAACUCCGAUUGCGAAGGCAGCCUGCUAAGCUGCAACUGACAUUGAGGCUCGAAAGUGUGGG
RNAcentral lists this ribosomal RNA (724 nucleotides) under uncultured Bacteroidales bacterium. RNAcentral's name for it is "bacterial SSU rRNA". It matches the Rfam family "Bacterial small subunit ribosomal RNA", at positions 51 to 765 of the family's 1533-position model. The record is from RNAcentral. Lineage: Bacteria; Pseudomonadati; Bacteroidota; Bacteroidia; Bacteroidales.